This is a non-coding RNA of Mycena alexandri, 86 nucleotides long. The record is from the annotation of a GenBank genome assembly. NCBI's taxonomy places the organism in Eukaryota, Fungi, Basidiomycota, Agaricomycetes, Agaricales, Mycenaceae.
GCUCCAAUGGCACAGUUGGUAGUGCCGUCUGAUUUCGUAACCCGUCACAAAGGAGAUGUGCGGCGGUUCGAAUCCGCCUUAGGGCG